AAGUCGACCGCCUGGGGAGUACGGCCGCAAGGUUAAAACUCAAAUGAAUUGACGGGGGCCCGCACAAGCGGUGGAGCAUGUGGUUUAAUUCGAUGCAACGCGAAGAACCUUACCUGGUCUUGACAUCCACGGAAGUUUUCAGAGAUGAGAAUGUGCCUUCGGGAACCGUGAGACAGGUGCUGCAUGGCUGUCGUCAGCUCGUGUUGUGAAAUGUUGGGUUAAGUCCCGCAACGAGCGCAACCCUUAUCCUUUGUUGCCAGCGGUCCGGCCGGGAACUCAAAGGAGACUGCCAGUGAUAAACUGGAGGAAGGUGGGGAUGACGUCAAGUCAUCAUGGCCCUUACGACCAGGGCUACACACGUGCUACAAUGGCGCAUACAAAGAGAAGCGACCUCGCGAGAGCAAGCGGACCUCAUAAAGUGCGUCGUAGUCCGGAUUGGAGUCUGCAACUCGACUCCAUGAAGUCGGAAUCGCUAGUAAUCGUGGAUCAGAAUGCCACGGUGAAUACGUUCCCGGGCCUUGUACACACCGCCCGUCACACCAUGGGAGUGGGUUGCAAAAGAAGUAGGUAGCUUAACCUUCGGGAGGGCGCUUACCACUUUGUGAUUCAUGACUGGGGUGAAGUCGUAACAAGGUAACCGUAGGGGAACCUGCGGUUGGAUCAC
This 664-nucleotide ribosomal RNA is filed under the name Escherichia coli. RNAcentral's name for it is "bacterial SSU rRNA". It matches the Rfam family "Bacterial small subunit ribosomal RNA", at positions 862 to 1526 of the family's 1533-position model. RNAcentral also lists the same sequence under 1 other name. Lineage: Bacteria; Pseudomonadati; Pseudomonadota; Gammaproteobacteria; Enterobacterales; Enterobacteriaceae. The record is from RNAcentral.